This 4271-nucleotide ribosomal RNA is filed under the name uncultured bacterium. RNAcentral describes it as "partial contains 16S ribosomal RNA, 16S-23S ribosomal RNA intergenic spacer, and 23S ribosomal RNA". The record is from RNAcentral.
AGUUACGUAUUGCUGGUGCUGUUCUCGCAAAGGCAGAAAGUAGUCAGAGUUUGAUCCUGGCUCAGAUUGAACGCUGGCGGCAUGCCUUACACAUGCAAGUCGAACGGUAACAGGAGCUUGCUCCGCUGACGAGUGGCGAACGGGUGAGUAAUACAUCGGAACGUGCCCAGUAAUGGGGAUAGCUCGGCGAAAGCCGGAUUAAUACCGCAUACGCCCUGAGGGGGAAAGUGGGGGACCGCAAGGCCUCACGUUAUUGGAGCGGCCGAUGGCUGAUUAGCUAGUUGGUAGGGUAAAGGCCUACCAAGGCGACGAUCAGUAGCUGGUCUGAGAGGACGAUCAGCCACACUGGGACUGAGACACGGCCCAGACUCCUACGGAGGCAGCAGUGGGGAAUUUUGGACAAUGGGGGAAACCCUGAUCCAGCAAUGCCGCGUGUGCGAAGAAGGCCUUCGGGUUGUAAAGCACUUUUUYMRGGAAAAAAWCCUUUGGGCUAAUACCCWAGGGGAUGACGGUACCUGAAGAAUAAGCACCGGCUAACUACGUGCCAGCAGCCGCGGUAAUACGUAGGGUGCAAGCGUUAAUCGGAAUUACUGGGCGUAAAGCGUGCGCAGGCGGUUGUGUAAGACAGGUGUGAAAYCCCGGGCUUAACCUGGGAAUUGCAUUUGUGACUGCACGACUAGAGUGUGUCAGAGGGGGUGGAAUUCCACGUGUAGCAGUGAAAUGCGUAGAUAUGUGGAGGAACACCAAUGGCGAAGGCAGCCCCCUGGGAUAACACUGACGCUCAUGCACGAAAGCGUGGGGAGCAAACAGGAUUAGAUACCCUGGUAGUCCACGCCCUAAACGAUGUCAACUAGUUGUUGGGGAUUUACUUCCUUGGUAACGUAGCUAACGCGUGAAGUUGACCGCCUGGGGAGUACGGCCGCAAGGUUAAAACUCAAAGGAAUUGACGGGGACCCGCACAAGCGGUGGAUGAUGUGGAUUAAUUCGAUGCAACGCGAAAACCUUACCUACCCUUGACAUGGCAGGAACUUUCCAGAGAUGGAUUGGUGCUCGAAAGAGAACCUGCACACAGGUGCUGCAUGGCUGUCGUCAGCUCGUGUCGUGAGAUGUUGGGUUAAGUCCCGCAACGAGCGCAACCCUUGUCAUUAGUUGCUACGAAAGGGCACUCUAAUGAGACUGCCGGUGACAAACCGGAGGAAGGUGGGGAUGACGUCAAGUCCUCAUGGCCCUUAUGGGUAGGGCUUCACACGUCAUACAAUGGUCGGUACAGAGGGUUGCCAAGCCGCGAGGUGGAGCCAAUCCCAGAAAGCCGAUCGUAGUCCGGAUCGUAGGCUGCAACUCGCCUGCGUGAAGUCGGAAUCGCUAGUAAUCGCGGAUCAGCAUGUCGCGGUGAAUACGUUCCCGGGUCUUGUACACACCGCCCGUCACACCAUGGGAGCGGGUUCCGCCAGAAGUAGGUAGCCUAACCGCAAGGAGGGCGCUUACCACGGCGGGGUUCGUGACUGGGGUGAAGUCGUAACAAGGUAGCCGUAGGAACCUGCGGCUGGAUCACCUCCUUUCUAGAGAAGCAUCUUGGCACCCACAACUUAUCGGUUGUUCAGUCGUAGCAAACAGACGAGGGUCUGUAGCUCAGUCGGUUAGAGCACCGUCUUGAUAAGGCGGGGGUCGUUGGUUCGAUUCCAACCAGACCCACCACGUCUCAAAACGGGGGAUUAGCUCAGCUGGGAGAGCACCUGCUUUGCAAGCAGGGGGUCAACGGUUCGAUCCCGUUAUCCUCCACCAGAACUUAAAGAUAAGCAGAGUUGCUUAUCUUUAGCGUUUGGUGAAAACCAAUUGCUACGCUCUUUAACAAAAUGGAAGAAGGUUGUGUAACGCUGUGAUGAGCAGCGGAUACACGUUGUGAUUGCAUCUGUUCUUGUCUUACAGCUAGGACAAGACAGCACAAAUGAGUUGCCUGUAGCCGGCUCUCGAAAGAGAGCACAAGGUUAUAGGAUCAAGCGACUAAGUGCAUGUGGUGGAUGCCUUGGCGAUCACAGGCGAUGAAGGACGUGCAAGCCUGCGAAAAGCGGGGGAGCUGGCAAUGAAGCUUUGAUCCCCGAUAUCCGAAUGGGGAAACCCACUCAGCAAUGAGUAUCCUGAUCUGAAUACAUAGGGUCAGGAGGCGAACCCGGUGAACUGAAACAUCUAAGUAGCCGGAGGAAAAGAAAUCAACCGAGAUUCCCCAAGUAGUGGCGAGCGAACGGGGAAGAGCCUGCUAGUGAUAGCGGAGAUGUUAAUGGAACGGAAUGGAAAGUCCGGCCGUAGUGGGUGAUAGCCCCGUACAUGAAAACAACUCCGUGGUACUAAGUUAGCGAAAAGUAGGGCGGGGCACGUGAAACCUUGUCUGAACAUGGGGGACCAUCCUCCAAGGCUAAAUACUCGUGAUCGACCGAUAGUGAACCAGUACCGUGAGGGAAAGGCGAAAAAAACCCCGGGGGGAGUGAAAUAGAACCUGAAACCGCAUGCAUACAAACAGUGGGAGCCUCCUUGUGGGGUGACUGCGUACCUUUUGUAUAAUGGGUCAGCGACUUACGUUAUGUUGCGAGCUUAACCGAAUAGGGAGGCGUAGCGAAAGCGAGUCUGAUAAGGGCGUUUAGUAGCAUGGCGUAGACCCGAAACCGGAUGAUCUAUCCAUGGCCAGGAUGAAGGUGCCGUAACAGGUACUGGAGGUCCGAACCCACUAACGUUGAAAAGUUAGGGAUGAGCUGUGGAUAGGGGUGAAAGGCUAAACAAAUCCGGAAAUAGCUGGUUCUCCCCGAAAACUAUUUAGGUAGUGCGUCACAUAUCACUUCCGGGGGUAAAGCACUGUUAUGGCUAGGGGGUCAUCGCGACUUACCAAACCAUGGCAAACUCUGAAUACCGGAAAGUGCGAGUGUGGCAGACAGACAGUGGGUGCUAACGUCCAUUGUCAAGAGGGAAACAACCCAGACCGCCAGCUAAGGUCCCCAAGACACAGUUAAGUGGGAAACGAGGUGGGAAGGCAUAGACAGCUAGGAGGUUGGCUUAGAAGCAGCCAUCCUUUAAAGAAAGCGUAAUAGCUCACUAGUCGAGUCGUCCUGCGCGGAAGAUGUAACGGGGCUCAAACUGUGCACCGAAGCUGCGGAUAUCGAAAGAUAUGGUAGGGGAGCGUUCUGUAGGUCUGUGAAGGUGUCUUGUAAAGGAUGCUGGAGAUAUCAGAAGUGCGAAUGCUGACAUGAGUAGCGAUAAAGGGAGUGAAAASCCCCCCGCCGAAAGCCCAAGGUUUCCUACGCAACGUUCAUCGGCGUAGGGUGAGUCGGCCCCUAAGGCGAGGCAGAAAUGCGUAGUCGAUGGGAAACAGGUCAAUAUUCCUGUACCGAUUCUAGAUGCGAUGUGGGGACGGAGAAGGUUAGGUCAGCCAACUGUUGGAAUAGUUGGUUUAAGCGUGUAGGCGUGCCCCUUWGGSAAAWCCGGGGGCUUAGCUGAGGCGUGACGACGAGGCACUACGGUGCUGAAGUGAUUGAUACCAAGCUUCCAGGAAAAGCCACUAAGCUUCAGUCUAGAAUUGACCGUACCGCAAACCGACACAGGUGGGCAGGAUGAAAAUUCUAAGGCGCUUGAGAGAACUCAGGAGAAGGAACUCGGCAAAUUGACACCGUAACUUCGGGAGAAGGUGUGCCCCGGUAGGUUGUAGAGCCUCGCGCUCGAAGGCCGAUGGGGUUGCAGUGAAAUGGUGGCUGCGACUGUUUAAUAAAACACAGCACUCUGCAAACACGAAAGUGGACGUAUAGGGUGUGACGCCUGCCCGGUGCUGGAAGAUUAAAUGAUGGGGUGCAAGCUCUUGAUUGAAGUCCCAGUAAACGGCGGCCGUAACUAUAACGGUCCUAAGGUAGCGAAAUUCCUUGUCGGGUAAGUUCCGACCUGCACGAAUGGCGUAACGAUGGCCACACUGUCUCCUCCUGAGACUCAGCGAAGUUGAAAUGUUUGUGAAGAUGCAAUCUCCCCGCGGCAAGACGGAAAGACCCCAUGAACCUUUACUGUAGCUUUGCAUUGGACUUUGAACCGGUUUGUGUAGGAUAGGUGGGAGGCUGUGAAACCGGGACGCCAGUUUCGGUGGAGCCAACCUUGAAAUACCACCCUGAUUUGUUUGAGGUUCUAACCUUGACCAGUGAAUCCUGGUCGGGGACCGUGCAUGGUAGGCAGUUUGACUGGGGCGGUGACUACUUUCUGCCUUGCGAGAACAGCACCAGCCACAACUGAACGAAGCAUGUUCG